Molecule: ribosomal RNA, 260 nt
Filed under: uncultured bacterium
Lineage: Bacteria
Description: partial 16S ribosomal RNA
Rfam family: Bacterial small subunit ribosomal RNA
Source: RNAcentral
GUCCACGCCCUAAACGAUGAAUACUCGAUGUUGGCGAUAUACGGUCAGCGUCUAAGCGAAAGCAUUAAGUAUUCCACCUGGGGAGUACGCCCGCAAGGGUGAAACUCAAAGGAAUUGACGGGGGCCCGCACAAGCGGAGGAGCAUGUGGUUUAAUUCGAUGAUACGCGAGGAACCUUACCCGGGCUUGAAAGUUAGUGAAUGAUUCAGAGACGAAUCAGUCCUUCGGGACGACGAAACUAGGUGGCUGCAUGGCUGUCGU